GAGGGUAUGGCUCAGUGAUGGUAGAGCAGAUGCUUAGCUAAUGCACGAGGUCCUGGGUUCAAUCCCCAGUACCUACC
RNAcentral lists this transfer RNA (77 nucleotides) under Camelus bactrianus (Bactrian camel). It matches the Rfam family "tRNA". From Rfam's summary of the family: Transfer RNA (tRNA) molecules are approximately 80 nucleotides in length. Their secondary structure includes four short double-helical elements and three loops (D, anti-codon, and T loops). The record is from Rfam by way of RNAcentral. Lineage: Eukaryota; Metazoa; Chordata; Mammalia; Artiodactyla; Camelidae. RNAcentral also lists the same sequence under 3 other names.